Molecule: small nuclear RNA, 20 nt
Filed under: Arabidopsis thaliana (thale cress)
Lineage: Eukaryota; Viridiplantae; Streptophyta; Magnoliopsida; Brassicales; Brassicaceae
Description: snRNA_11538
Source: RNAcentral
GCCUCGCUCGCAACGACCAA